Long non-coding RNA from Scophthalmus maximus (turbot), 872 nucleotides. RefSeq lists it as uncharacterized. The record is from RefSeq and is a predicted model, not a curated record. The transcript has 2 exons. NCBI's taxonomy places the organism in Eukaryota, Metazoa, Chordata, Actinopteri, Pleuronectiformes, Scophthalmidae.
UACUCCCGUGAUCUAGCACACACCUAGACUCCCAGCUGUAGAAUUUCCACCACAAUACAAUAUAAAGAGUUUGGACAUCACCAGCGACAUGUACUUUCAAAUUUCAGGGUGUGAGAACCAAAACUCGUUGUGAACGUCAGCCGUCUGCUCACUGUUGAACUGGUUCAUCACGUUUUUAACAAACACCAAGACGAACACGCUGCACAUAUGGAUUUGAACCGAGAGUUGCACGACCCACUUAUUCAGACUCCCGGGGAGGUUUGUGAGAAUCUGUAUCUGGAAAAGGUAAACAGUCCUAUCGUCGUCCUCACUGUGAUUCCUCUGAACCUCACAGCGCGAGGAGCCUCCACGUCAAAGCCGUUCACAUCCUGCUGAAAGAACAGGAGGCAAUUAAACCGGAUCCGCACCGGCACGGCAGCAACACACUCUGGAGCCAAAUGCAGAUCGGUGCAUUAACAUGCAGGCCAGAGUGAGAUAGAUGCAUUCAGGAGACAGAAAGAAGUGGGGCAGCAGAGAGAGGAGGAGGAGGAAGAAGAAAGGAGAAGAGAGAGCCUGUAGCCUUCUUAAUAGGGCUGCUCGGAAUCUUGGGGAUGAAGGCUGUUGUAAAGUUUCCAAGGUCGAAGCAGCGACGGGUAGAAGACGAACACGGACCGCAACGGGACGAGUGUGGAAGGAAGCCGGGCGCCAACGCCUCUUUAAAACCUACACAUACAUGUCGCAGGACAGGAACAACUGGAAUCUCAGAGGGAAGACGCAAUACGACUUUCCCAACAGCUGCAUCCCCUUCAAUGAAAUGGGGGGGAAGAAAUACCUUUGACUGAGUAAAACCGAUAAAUAAAACAGGCUGGGGUCUGGCAAAGUAUUUACUCAAA